CGUUUGACGUUAGCUGCAGAAGAAGCACCGGCUAACUCCGUGCCAGCAGCCGCGGUAAUACGGAGGGUGCGAGCGUUAAUCGGAAUUACUGGGCGUAAAGCGCAUGCAGGUGGUUUGUUAAGUCAGAUGUGAAAGCCCGGGGCUCAACCUCGGAAUUGCAUUUGAAACUGGCAGACUAGAGUACUGUAGAGGGGGGUAGGAAUUUCAGGUGUAGCGGUGAAAUGCGUAGAGAUCUGAAGGAAUACCGGUGGCGAAGGCGGCCCCCUGGACAGAUACUGACACUCAGAUGCGAAAGCGUGGGGAGCAAACAGGAUUAGAUACCCUGGUAG
RNAcentral lists this ribosomal RNA (329 nucleotides) under uncultured bacterium. RNAcentral's name for it is "bacterial SSU rRNA". It matches the Rfam family "Bacterial small subunit ribosomal RNA", at positions 466 to 793 of the family's 1533-position model. The record is from RNAcentral.